RNAcentral lists this ribosomal RNA (266 nucleotides) under uncultured bacterium. Its description in RNAcentral is "partial 16S ribosomal RNA". It matches the Rfam family "Bacterial small subunit ribosomal RNA", at positions 1234 to 1500 of the family's 1533-position model. The record is from RNAcentral.
CAAGUACAAAGAGAAGCAAGACCGUGAGGUGGAGCAAAACUCAAAAACUUGUCUCAGUUCGGAUUGUAGGCUGAAACUCGCCUACAUGAAGCUGGAGUUGCUAGUAAUCGCGAAUCAGCAUGUCGCGGUGAAUACGUUCCCGGGCCUUGUACACACCGCCCGUCACACCAUGAGAGUCGGGAACACCCGAAGUCCGUAGCCUAACCGCAAGGGGGGCGCGGCCGAAGGUGGGUUCGAUAAUUGGGGUGAAGUCGUAACAAGGUAUC